This 46-nucleotide small RNA is filed under the name Fimbriimonas ginsengisoli Gsoil 348. RNAcentral's name for it is "Acido-Lenti-1 RNA". It matches the Rfam family "Acido-Lenti-1 RNA". Lineage: Bacteria; Bacillati; Armatimonadota; Fimbriimonadia; Fimbriimonadales; Fimbriimonadaceae. The record is from Rfam by way of RNAcentral.
CCCAGGGCUCACGCCCCGGGCUGUAGGAUGUCGCGCCUUCAGCGCU